Long non-coding RNA from Cannabis sativa, 1355 nucleotides. RefSeq lists it as uncharacterized. Lineage: Eukaryota; Viridiplantae; Streptophyta; Magnoliopsida; Rosales; Cannabaceae. The record is from RefSeq and is a predicted model, not a curated record. The transcript is spliced from 2 exons.
CAAGAAAUAUUAAUUAUUAUUAUUAUUGGGAAAAUCACCCUGAACGUGCGAAUUUAUGAAGGUGGAAAGUAGGGAUGAGAAAAAGCUAAAAAUAAUAAGGUAAUGAUGAAAGAAUCGCAUUAAAGGUGGAGAGCUGUCCUCUCUCUUUCUCUCUGUCUCUGUGUCGUGGAAUGGAAACCCUUUCAAAAUAUAAUGAAUUUAAAUAUUAAUUUUGUCUUUUAGUUUUUUUUGACUGAACCCAACCGGACGACUGGCAACAGCAGGUGAUCAAUUACAACUGCAUAUAUACAUAGAUACAUACAAUACACCCCGUAAAUGAAAGAAACACAUUAAAUUAAUAUGAAUAACUUUUUCCUAUUUCCUUUACUAUUAUUCUCGAAAUUUUAAAUUCUAGUUUUCUUUUAUCUUUUAUGUUUGUUUAUUUGUGGAGUGUAUUUGGUGCUUUGGGUUUUGUUUUCUUAAUUUGUUUGCACUUAAAUCGAAUACCGUUUUGGAUAAUCUUAAUUUUGGAAGAUAAUGUGAGUGUAGUAAAACUGCCAUUAUUGGCGUUAAUGUAUUUCUCUCUCAUAAUUGAAAAUGCUCUUAAAAUUGUCUUUUGGCACUAUAAAUUUGAAGAGAAAUAUAGCUAGGGUUUCUUCAAAGUGUGUUGAAAACAAAGGUCUUCUCUCUCUCUCUCUCUCUCUCUUGAGGAGAAUAUUGGGUUUUGAAAAGGGAAUUCAAUUUGUCGGAAAACAACAGUUCAAAUCUAUAUAUACUGGCCAAAGCUCCAAAUAUUACCCUCUCAAAGAAACUUGUCUAUCUAUAUUCAAAAACCUCUCUCUUUCCAAGCCUUUUUUUUAUUAUUAGUUUUCUUUUUUGCUGUUGUUCGUGUUUCUUUCUUAUAUAUAGAUCUUUCUCUGUGUGAAGGAUAAGGGUGAGAGGAAUGUUGUCUGGCUCGAGGUCAUGGAGUUUCAUGAAUUUCUACAUCAUAUAAUAUUUGAUGAGAACCUAAAUGAUUCUCGGACCAGGCUUCAUUCCCCUCAACCAAUAUUUCCUUUGAACUAUAUAUAAUGCCAUUCGUCAGAUCAAGAUGUUAUACACACCCAGAUCUAAUUCUUAGGCCGGUUCUGCAGGCAGCUAGAUUCUCGGAUCUUGUUUGUAGUGUAAUUAUGAUCAACUUCAGUGAGUUCAACUUUGUUUAAGUACUGAGUGUAAGUUUUUCUUGUAUAUAUAUAUAUAUGUCUCUCUUUUAUUUGUUGGUUGCGUGAAGAUGUAAUUUUUCCAAAUGGUUUGGUGAACAGUUUUAUUCUUGUUAAGUACGUUACCAAGGACAUCCAUGUGUAUGAUUGUAUUUUGAAGUGUUAACCACAUUCAUA